AAUGGGGAAACCCUGAAGCAGCCAUGCCGGGGUGUGAAGAAAGCCUUCGGGUUGUAAAGCACUUUCAGUAGGGAGGAAGGUAGGGUAGUUACACCUUGCAUUAUUUGACGUUACCUACAGAAGAAGCACCGGCUAACUCCGUGCCAGCAGCCGCGGUAAUACGGAGGGUGCGAGCGUUAAUCGGAAUUACUGGGCGUAAAGCGCAUGCAGGCGGCCUGUUAAGUCAGAUGUGAAAGCCCGGGGCUUAACCUCGGAAUUGCAUUUGAAACUGGCAGGCUAGAGUCUUGUAGAGGGGGGUAGAAUUUCAGGUGUAGCGGUGAAAUGCGUAGAGAUCUGAAGGAAUACCAGUGGCGAAGGCGGCCCCCUGGACAAAGACUGACGCUCAGAUGCGAAAGCGUGGGGAGCAAACAGGAUUAGAUACCCUGGUAGUCCACGCCGUAAACGAUGUCUACUUGGAGGUUGUGGCCUUGAGCCGUGGCUUUCGGAGCUAACGCGUUAAGUAGACCGCCUAGGGAGUACGGUCGCAAGAUUAAAACUCAAAUGAAUUGACGGGGGCCCGCACAAGCGGUGGAGCAUGUGGUUUAAUUCGAUGCAACGCGAAGAACCUUACCUACUCUUGACAUCCAGAGAAGCUUGAAGAGAUUCGAGUGUGCCUUCGGGAACUCUGAGACAGGUGCUGCAUGGCUGUCGUCAGCUCGUGUUGUGAAAUGUUGGGUUAAGUCCCGCAACGAGCGCAACCCUUAUCCUUGUUUGCCAGCACUUCGGGUGGGAACUCCAGGGAGACUGCCGGUGAUAAACCGGAGGAAGGUGGGGACGACGUCAAGUCAUCAUGGCCCUUACGAGUAGGGCUACACACGUGCUACAAUGGCAUAUACAGAGGGCAGCAAGACCGCGAGGUGGAGCGAAUCCCAGAAAGUAUGUCGUAGUCCGGAUCGGAGUCUGCAACUCGACUCCGUGAAGUCGGAAUCGCUAGUAAUCGUGGAUCAGAAUGCCACGGUGAAUACGUUCCCGGGCCUUGUACACACCGCCCGUCACACCAUGGGAGUGGGCUGCACCAGAAGUAGAUAGCUUAACCUUCGGGAGGGCGUUUACCACGGUGUGGUUCAUGACUGGGGUGAAGUCGUAACAAGGUAACCG
Molecule: ribosomal RNA, 1137 nt
Filed under: uncultured bacterium
Lineage: Bacteria
Description: bacterial SSU rRNA
Rfam family: Bacterial small subunit ribosomal RNA
Source: RNAcentral